Molecule: long non-coding RNA, 221 nt
Organism: Coregonus clupeaformis (lake whitefish)
Lineage: Eukaryota; Metazoa; Chordata; Actinopteri; Salmoniformes; Salmonidae
Exons: 3
Source: RefSeq, a predicted model, not a curated record
CCGCGCGCUGGUCAUCUGCACCGAGUGGGACAUGUUCAGGGAUCUGGAUUAUGAGAGGAUAUAUGACCACAUGUUGAAGCCAGCGUUUCUGUUUGACGGCCGUCGCCUGUUGGACCAACUUCACCCCCGCCUGCAGAACAUUGGCUUCCAGAUUGAGACCAUCGGUAAGAAGGUGACAUCAUCUCGUAUUCCCUACACACCCGGCCGGAGUCCCGCGUCAG